GGCUUCGUAGCUAAGUUAGUAGAGCGCUUGCCGUGUUAAGACAUGGUGUUUCUGUCGCUGGUUCGAAUCCAGCCGAAGCCC
Molecule: transfer RNA, 81 nt
Filed under: Paragonimus skrjabini miyazakii
Lineage: Eukaryota; Metazoa; Platyhelminthes; Trematoda; Plagiorchiida; Troglotrematidae
Description: Paragonimus miyazakii tRNA
Rfam family: tRNA
About the family: Transfer RNA (tRNA) molecules are approximately 80 nucleotides in length.
Source: Rfam by way of RNAcentral